This 195-nucleotide ribosomal RNA is filed under the name uncultured bacterium. RNAcentral's name for it is "partial 16S ribosomal RNA". It matches the Rfam family "Bacterial small subunit ribosomal RNA", at positions 326 to 539 of the family's 1533-position model. The record is from RNAcentral.
ACGCUCGACACCUACAGGCAGCAGUGGGGAAUAUUGCACAAUGGGGGGAACCCUGAUGCAGCGACGCCGCGUGAGUGAAGAAGUACUUCGGUAUGUAAAGCUCUAUCAGCAGGGAAGAAAAUGACGGUACCUGACUAAGAAGCCCCGGCUAACUACGUGCCAGAAGCCGCGGUAAUCUGAGCGGGCUGGCAAGGC